Molecule: non-coding RNA, 23 nt
Filed under: Cricetulus griseus (Chinese hamster)
Lineage: Eukaryota; Metazoa; Chordata; Mammalia; Rodentia; Cricetidae
Source: RNAcentral
CAUGGAGCACUGGGCACAUAGGC